Molecule: non-coding RNA, 969 nt
Filed under: Calyptraea chinensis
Lineage: Eukaryota; Metazoa; Mollusca; Gastropoda; Littorinimorpha; Calyptraeidae
Description: small subunit ribosomal RNA
Rfam family: Microsporidia small subunit ribosomal RNA (bases 228-969)
Source: RNAcentral
AUAUUUAAUAUGUGUUUAUUUGUUACAAAUAGUUACUUUAAAUUAAAAAUAUUUCUCACAUAGAUCUCUAUACAAAAUAGUUUGGCUCUGGCUAGUAUAUAUAACUUAAGCAAAAGAAUAUACAUGGUUUUUAUUGAGUUUAGUGAGUAUUAAUUAUAAUUAAUUUACUAAUAGUAAAUAUAUAUAGUUUAUUGGUAUUAUAAUUUACAUGAUGCCUAGAGUAAUUUCACUAACACCAGUAAUUAAUUUUAAUAAAUAAGUGUAAGCUUGAUUUAGUUUAGUUUAUAGAAAGUUUGGUGAAAAUUGGUGCCAGCAACUGCGGCUAAACCAGUGAACUUAAUUAUAUUGAUUGGUUUAAAAAGUAGUUAUAAAUAUUCUAUGUUUAUAGAUUUUUUAUAUAGAGGUAUAAUUUUAGUAUAUAAAAAUAUUUCUUUAUAAACUUUUAGUUUUGAAGCUACGACAGCCAUAAGGGAAACUGGGAUUAGAAACCCCAUUAUUUAUAGAAUUAAAUAAAUUAAAAUUUACCUGGGUACUACGAAUAUUAAGUUUAAAACUCAAAGAGCUUGGCGGUGUUUUAGACUCUUCAGGGGAACCUGUUUUGUAAUCGAUGAUCCACGUGAUACCUAACUUUUUCUUGAAAAUAGGUUAAUUACUAUACCAGUCUGUAUACCGUCGUCGUCAGGUAACCUUUAAGAGUAUUAGAGUUAGCGGUAAGUAAAAAAUUUUAUUAAUUAUGAUGUCAGAUCAAGGUGCAACUAACGGAAAAGUAAAGAUGGGUUACAAUUAUAAAUUUAUAUAUGGAUAAGGAUAUGAAAUAUUCUUUUAAAUAGGACUUGAAAGUAAAAUCUUUUAUAUAUAAAAAUGGUUUGAACUUUGCUCUGAAAUGUGCACAAAUCGCCCGUCGCUCUCGUUGAAAAAUGAGAUAAGUCGUAACAUAGUAGGGUUAAUGGAAAUUGUUCCUAGAUGAUU